CAGUGGGGAAUAUUGCACAAUGGGCGCAAGCCUGAUGCAGCCAUGCCGCGUGUGUGAAGAAGGCCUUCGGGUUGUAAAGUCACUUUCAGUUGUGAGGAAGGUGGUGUCGUUAAUAGCGGCAUCAUUUGACGUUAGCAACAGAAGAAGCACCGGCUAACUCCGUGCCAGCAGCCGCGGUAAUACGGAGGGUGCGAGCGUUAAUCGGAAUUACUGGGCGUAAAGCGCAUGCAGGUGGUUUGUUAAGUCAGAUGUGAAAGCCCGGGGCUCAACCUCGGAACUGCAUUUGAAACUGGCAGACUAGAGUACUGUAGAGGGGGUAGAAUUUCAGGUGUAGCGGUGAAAUGCGUAGAGAUCUGAAGGAAUACCGGUGGCGAAGGCGGCCCCCUGGACAGAUACUGACACUCAGAUGCGAAAGCGUGGGGAGCAAACAGGAUUAGAUACCCUGGUAG
Molecule: ribosomal RNA, 449 nt
Filed under: uncultured bacterium
Lineage: Bacteria
Description: bacterial SSU rRNA
Rfam family: Bacterial small subunit ribosomal RNA
Source: RNAcentral